Molecule: ribosomal RNA, 253 nt
Filed under: uncultured bacterium
Lineage: Bacteria
Description: partial 16S ribosomal RNA
Rfam family: Bacterial small subunit ribosomal RNA
Source: RNAcentral
UACGGAGGGUGCGAGCGUUGUCCGGAAUCACUGGGCGUAAAGGGCGCGUAGGUGGCGGCCCAAGUCCGUGGUGAAAGCUCGCCGCUUAACGGCGAGUCGGCCACGGAGACUGGGUGGCUCGAGCACUGUAGGGGCAGAUGGAAUUCCGGGUGUAGCGGUGGAAUGCGUAGAGAUCCGGAAGAACACCAGUGGCGAAGGCGGUCUGCUGGGCAGUUGCUGACACUGAGGCGCGACAGCGUGGGGAGCAAAUAGG